RNAcentral lists this long non-coding RNA (1222 nucleotides) under Homo sapiens (human). Its description in RNAcentral is "HSALNT0031074". The record is from RNAcentral. Lineage: Eukaryota; Metazoa; Chordata; Mammalia; Primates; Hominidae.
AAGUAAACCAGGUCUCCUGCCCAGGGCAGGGCAGAUUGAGCAAGGCUCAGACCGUCUUGCUUAUCCUCUUUGUGACCCAGUAAAGGAUUGUGAGGCAGAGGAGGUGGUGACACAUAAAAACACAUCUGGAGGUACUGCUGCAUCUCAGGGCAGGAGGUACAGAGGGGACAAAGAGAGGGGUCAGCUGAGGGGCAUCAAAGAAGAAAGGACUGAGGUGGUUCAGGUGAAGAAUGGACUGAGGGGGCUUGAGGGAGAAUGGGCUGAGGGGACUCGGGGGAGGAUGGACUGAGGAAACUCGGGGGAGGAUGGACUGAGGGGACUCGGGGAGAAUGGACUGAGGGGACUUGGGGGAAAAUGGACUGAGGGGACUCGGGGGAAAAUGGACUGAGGGGACUCAGGGGAAAAUGGACUGAGGAUACUCUCGGAGGAUGAACUGAGGAUACUCGCGGAGGAUGCACUGAGGAUACUCGGGGGAGGACGGACUGAGGGGAUUCGGGGAGAAUGGACUGAGGGGACUUGGGGGAAAAUGGACUGAGGGGACUCGAGGGAAAAUGGACUGAGGGGACUCGCGGAGGAUGCACUGAGGAUACUCGCGGAGGAUGCACUGAGGAUACUCGCGGAGGAUGGACUGAGGGGACCCGGGGGAGGAUAGACUCAGGAUACUCAGAGAGGAUGGACUGAGGGGACUCGGGGGAGGAUGGAUUCAGGAUACUCAGAGAGGAUGGACUGAGGGGGCUCGGGGGAGGAUGGACUCAGGAUACGCAGAGAGGAUGGACUGAGGGGACUCAGGGGAGGAUGGACUGAGGAUACUUGGGAGAGGAUGGACUGAGGAUAUUCGGAGAGGAUGGACUGAGGGGACUCGGGAGAGGUUGGACUGAGGAUACUCGGAGAGGAUGGAUUGAGGGGACUCGGGGGAGGAUGGACUGAGGAUACUCGCAGAGGAUGGACUGAGGGGACUCGGGGGAGGAUGGACUGAGGAUACUCAGAGAGGAUGGACUGAGGGGACUCGGGGGAGGAUGGACUGAGGAUACUCGGAGAGGAUGGACUGAGGGGACUCGGGGGAGGAUGGACUCAGGAUACUCGGAGAGGAUGGACUGAGGGGACUUGGGGGAGGAUGGACUCAGGAUACUCAGGAUGGACUGAGGGGACUCGGGGGAGGAUGGACUCAGGAUACUCAGAGAGGAUGGACUGAGGGGACUCAGGGGAGGAUGGACUGAGGAUA